GUAAAUCCACUUGAGCACCACAUGCUGGGUGCGACACAGUGGGAAAGGGCGUGACUCUGGCUGUUGAUUACAUUCGAGGCGAGAAAGAAAAUGAGACAGGGAGAGAGAAGCAAACGAGUGCGGUAACAGAGUCAGAGACCCGAAGGAAACUUUCAAGGUUUCACAGAGUUCCUCUUCUUCAGGCAGUAAAACCAGUUUCACUAUGUAUAAUAAUCAGGUGAACGGUCCCAUGUAUGAAAACCAAGCGUUUAAACAUGAAGAAUAUAGUCCUCCGUAUUCUGUAACACAGCAGAUCCCCAGCCAUUCCUACAUCAACCAGUAUUAUACUUCAACACCCGGAAUACCAGCUAAUCCAAGGCAAACAAAAGG
Molecule: non-coding RNA, 369 nt
Organism: Neolamprologus brichardi
Lineage: Eukaryota; Metazoa; Chordata; Actinopteri; Cichliformes; Cichlidae
Source: RefSeq, a predicted model, not a curated record